Molecule: ribosomal RNA, 2655 nt
Filed under: Salmonella enterica subsp. enterica serovar Enteritidis
Lineage: Bacteria; Pseudomonadati; Pseudomonadota; Gammaproteobacteria; Enterobacterales; Enterobacteriaceae
Description: partial 23S ribosomal RNA
Rfam family: Bacterial large subunit ribosomal RNA
Source: RNAcentral
GGGAAACCCAGUGUGACUCGUCACACUAUCAUUAACUGAAUCCAUAGGUUAAUGAGGCGAACCGGGGGAACUGAAACAUCUAAGUACCCCGAGGAAAAGAAAUCAACCGAGAUUCCCCCAGUAGCGGCGAGCGAACGGGGAGGAGCCCAGAGCCUGAAUCAGCAUGUGUGUUAGUGGAAGCGUCUGGAAAGGCGCGCGAUACAGGGUGACAGCCCCGUACACAAAAGCGCAUGUGCUGUGAGCUCGAUGAGUAGGGCGGGACACGUGGUAUCCUGUCUGAAUAUGGGGGGACCAUCCUCCAAGGCUAAAUACUCCUGACUGACCGAUAGUGAACCAGUACCGUGAGGGAAAGGCGAAAAGAACCCCGGCGAGGGGAGUGAAAAAGAACCUGAAACCGUGUACGUACAAGCAGUGGGAGCACCCUUUGGGUGUGACUGCGUACCUUUUGUAUAAUGGGUCAGCGACUUAUAUUCUGUAGCAAGGUUAACCGAAUAGGGGAGCCGGAGGGAAACCGAGUCUUAACCGGGCGUUAAGUUGCAGGGUAUAGACCCGAAACCCGGUGAUCUAGCCAUGGGCAGGUUGAAGGUUGGGUAACACUAACUGGAGGACCGAACCGACUAAUGUUGAAAAAUUAGCGGAUGACCUGUGGCUGGGGGUGAAAGGCCAAUCAAACCGGGAGAUAGCUGGUUCUCCCCGAAAGCUAUUUAGGUAGCGCCUCGUGAAUUCAUCUCCGGGGGUAGAGCACUGUUUCGGCUAGGGGGCCAUCCCGGCUUACCAACCCGAUGCAAACUGCGAAUACCGGAGAAUGUUAUCACGGGAGACACACGGCGGGUGCUAACGUCCGUCGUGAAGAGGGAAACAACCCAGACCGCCAGCUAAGGUCCCAAAGUCAUGGUUAAGUGGGAAACGAUGUGGGAAGGCCCAGACAGCCAGGAUGUUGGCUUAGAAGCAGCCAUCAUUUAAAGAAAGCGUAAUAGCUCACUGGUCGAGUCGGCCUGCGCGGAAGAUGUAACGGGGCUAAACCAUGCACCGAAGCUGCGGCAGCGACACUGUGUGUUGUUGGGUAGGGGAGCGUUCUGUAAGCCUGUGAAGGUGUGUCGUGAGGCAUGCUGGAGGUAUCAGAAGUGCGAAUGCUGACAUAAGUAACGAUAAAGCGGGUGAAAAGCCCGCUCGCCGGAAGACCAAGGGUUCCUGUCCAACGUUAAUCGGGGCAGGGUGAGUCGACCCCUAAGGCGAGGCCGAAAGGCGUAGUCGAUGGGAAACGGGUUAAUAUUCCCGUACUUGGUGUUACUGCGAAGGGGGGACGGAGAAGGCUAUGUUGGCCGGGCGACGGUUGUCCCGGUUUAAGCGUGUAGGUGUGUGUUCCAGGUAAAUCCGGUUCACUUUAACACUGAGGCGUGACGACGAGGCACUACGGUGCUGAAGCAACAAAUGCCCUGCUUCCAGGAAAAGCCUCUAAGCAUCAGGUAACAUCAAAUCGUACCCCAAACCGACACAGGUGGUCAGGUAGAGAAUACCAAGGCGCUUGAGAGAACUCGGGUGAAGGAACUAGGCAAAAUGGUGCCGUAACUUCGGGAGAAGGCACGCUGACACGUAGGUGAAGUGAUUUACUCAUGGAGCUGAAGUCAGUCGAAGAUACCAGCUGGCUGCAACUGUUUAUUAAAAACACAGCACUGUGCAAACACGAAAGUGGACGUAUACGGUGUGACGCCUGCCCGGUGCCGGAAGGUUAAUUGAUGGGGUCAGCGCAAGCGAAGCUCCUGAUCGAAGCCCCGGUAAACGGCGGCCGUAACUAUAACGGUCCUAAGGUAGCGAAAUUCCUUGUCGGGUAAGUUCCGACCUGCACGAAUGGCGUAAUGAUGGCCAGGCUGUCUCCACCCGAGACUCAGUGAAAUUGAACUCGCUGUGAAGAUGCAGUGUACCCGCGGCAAGACGGAAAGACCCCGUGAACCUUUACUAUAGCUUGACACUGAACAUUGAGCCUUGAUGUGUAGGAUAGGUGGGAGGCUUUGAAGUGUGGACGCCAGUCUGCAUGGAGCCGACCUUGAAAUACCACCCUUUAAUGUUUGAUGUUCUAACGUGGACCCGUUACCCGGGUUGCGGACAGUGUCUGGUGGGUAGUUUGACUGGGGCGGUCUCCUCCUAAAGAGUAACGGAGGAGCACGAAGGUUGGCUAAUCCUGGUCGGACAUCAGGAGGUUAGUGCAAUGGCAUAAGCCAGCUUGACUGCGAGCGUGACGGCGCGAGCAGGUGCGAAAGCAGGUCAUAGUGAUCCGGUGGUUCUGAAUGGAAGGGCCAUCGCUCAACGGAUAAAAGGUACUCCGGGGAUAACAGGCUGAUACCGCCCAAGAGUUCAUAUCGACGGCGGUGUUUGGCACCUCGAUGUCGGCUCAUCACAUCCUGGGGCUGAAGUAGGUCCCAAGGGUAUGGCUGUUCGCCAUUUAAAGUGGUACGCGAGCUGGGUUUAGAACGUCGUGAGACAGUUCGGUCCCUAUCUGCCGUGGGCGCUGGAGAACUGAGGGGGGCUGCUCCUAGUACGAGAGGACCGGAGUGGACGCAUCACUGGUGUUCGGGUUGUCAUGCCAAUGGCACUGCCCGGUAGCUAAAUGCGGAAGAGAUAAGUGCUGAAAGCAUCUAAGCACGAAACUUGCCCCGA